CAGAAAUGAAGAUUUAUUCAGAAUGAGAAAUCACAGCAAAUUAUACAUUUCAAAAAGCUGAAAGUUGACAACAUAGACAUCACAAAAACCCAGAAAAGAAUAAAAAUAUAUUUUAUAAACUAUUAUUGAUCCUCUGCUGCCACUCAUCUACAAUGUUUUCAUCUUGCAUGUUUUGGCUAUAUGUUCUCUGAUUUCUUCAUAGGACAAUAAUUUUGUAUUAUCAUUUUCUAUAGGGAGAAAAAAGGUAAUUCUAUCUUUCCUGUAAACAUGGUUGGCCCUAGUUUGGUUGGCCCUCGGUAGUUUGAAAACGUGCAUCUGUUGGCUUCUUUGCUUGGCAUUGGUAAUGUCACACCUCAGCCAUUCUCUGUUCAGCUAUGUGAGCUCCUGAUCAGCCUCCCAGGCCUUUGUCCCUCAAUUCCCCCUCAGCUGCGUCAGCUCAGUCACAGCCUUGCCCACAUGGGCACUUGCCCCUCACCUGCCUCUGCUGCUCCAGUCCUGGGGUAGGGGACAGAGUGGCUAUGGGACCUGGUCGUGAUGACCUCUGAGUGGGAUGCUGAGCAGGGUCUUAUUGGCUCUUUCCUCCUGGAGUUGAAGCGUGUGGAGCCUUGGUGAGUGAGUCCCCCAGAAACACGUGGGAGCCCUGCCAUUGAAGGUGGGCUAGCACCUGUAGUCCUAGGACCCUGCUGGGGAGUGGUGUGUGACAUUUGCUGGGGCAAUGUGCCCUACUGGGGCCACUGUGGCCUCCCAGCCAGCCCUCAAGUAUAAUGCAUUGAGGCACAGAAAGGCCAGUUUUGGGUGUGGGGCCAUGAGGUGCGGGCUCUGGUGGCCUCAUGGUCAGUCCCCCUCUGGUCCUGGGUUAGCAUUUCCCAGAGGGGCCUGGGAUGCCCUGUGAGAAGAGGCUCCCUAGUUGUCUUAGUUCAGGCUACAAAGUACCAUAGACUGGGUGGCUUAUAAACAACAGUCAUUGAUUUCUCACAGCUCUGGUGGCUGGAACUCCAAGCUGGAGUGCCAGCACCACUGAUUUCUGGUGAGGGCUCUCUUCUGGGCUGCAGACAGCUGACUUCUAUCCUUGCAUGGUGGAAAGAGAGCAAAGGAGCGCUCUGUUCUCUUCUUAAAAGGUUGGUAAUCCCAUUCACAAGGGCUCCACCCUCAUGACCUAAUCACCUCCCAGAGGCCUCACCUCCUAAUGCCCUCAUUAUGGGGAUUAAAUCUCAACAUAUAAAUUGGGUGGGGGGGGGCGAUACAUUCAGUCCAUAACAUGUGGGAGACCCUGUAUUACCAUUACCAUGUUAAAUACUCUGAGAAGCCCUUCAAUGAAGAAACCUGAUUGGGUCAAUGAAACUUUCUCCCAAAGUUUCCCACAGAACCCUUCUUUCAUCCAACAUGUAUUAACAUCUCGCACUUAAGAAAACACUGUCAUAUAGAGACUUCCUGAGAGAGAAGCAAGGGUAAUGAAGGUCCCAGACCCCACAGAAGGAGGCCUCACAAUUGGGUUCCUCCUCGGGAUAUAAGACACUUUUGUGGCACAUCUUUCUCAGUGAUGUUACAUUCAACUCAGGCUAGAAGGAGCCUCACACUCACUGGACACGGGCUCGGAUUGGAUUUAAUUUAACAUAACCAGGCUGGGCAUGGUGGCUCAUGCCUGUAAUCCCAGCACUUUAGGAGGCCAAGGUGGGAGGACUGCUUGAGCUCAAGAGUUCAAGACCAGCCUGGGCAAUACAGUGAGACCCCAUGUCAAUUAGAAAAAAAAAGAAGAAGAAGAAGGCCAGGUGUGGUGGCUCAUGCCUGUAAUCCCAGCACUUUGGGAGGCUGAGGUGGGCAGAUCAUGAGGUCAAGAGAUUGAGACCAUCCUGGCCAGCAUGGUGAAACCCUGUCUCUACUAAAAAUACAAAAAUUAGUUGAGCAUGGUGGUGCGUGCCUGUAGUCCCAGCUACUCUGGAGGCUAAGGCAGGAGAACCACUUGAACCUGGGAGGUGGAAGUUGUAGUGAGCCGAGAUUGCACCACUGCACUCCAGCCUGGUGAGAGAGUGAGACUCUGUCAAUUAAAAAAAAAAAAAAAAGAAAAUAAUUUAACAUAACUUUUCGAGUUAGUUAAAGAAAACCUAGAUAGGCCCACACUAGGAGUGGAGGGAGCUUGGAUAAACUCGGGCAAGAGGGGCAUCCAAGCAUGGAGGACAGGGAUACCGUUCGGAGUUUAGAAAAAUUGAAGACAGAAAAUCAGAACUUGGGCUGGUUGCAGUGGCUCACACUUGUAAUCCCAGCACUUUGGGAGGCUGAGGUGGGCGGAUCACUUGAGGCCAAGAGUUCAAGAUCGGCCUGGCCAACACGCCAAAACCCUGUCUCUACUAAAAAAUACAAAGUUAGCUGGGCAUGUUGGAGCAUACUUGUAAUCCCCACUACUUGGGAGGCUGAGGUGGGAGAAUUGCUUGAACCUGGGAGGCUGAGGUGGGAGAACUGCUUGAACCCGGGAGGCAGAGUUUGCAAUAAGCCAAGAUUGCACCACUGCACUCCAGCCUGGGUGACGGAGGAAGACUCUGUCUCAAAAGAAAAAAAAAAGAAAAACAGAAAUCACUACCUAAAAACCAAAGCCUCAGACCUACCGCUGAGAAUCUGGAUGAGCUGUGCUUUGAGUGGCUGAGCUCCAGUCAUAAGGAUUAGACCUUCCCAGAGGAAAGAUAUGCAGGUAUAGGAGACACACACAGGUUAACCUGUAGCUUUGGGGGUAAAAGGCCCUCCAGGGAUUUAUAUGUGGAUAACAGGAAAGGGAAAAGGAAGGACUGGUGCAGAAAUCAUGAAAAGCAACUUGACCAGGUGUGAGAAAUGGAUGAUGUGAUGGACAUCAAGCAGACACCAUAGGUCGUUAUUUUAGCUCUCUAGAAUCUUGCAGAAAGUAUUAUUCAGCUCCUGACUUCCCUUAAGAAUAACAAUUACCCACGGUACAUAUGCACCUUUGGAAAGAUCUGAACAAAAUGGGCCUAAAAAAUGGCAGGGGGAUAAAAUUGGUACAUAGGGUACUGGUCAAAUAAGUUCUAAAAAGCUUCCUGCUUCCAGCAGAGAUGGCCACAGUUCAUGUAAAUGGCCAUUAGAAAAGAAACACUAUAGAAGUUCUAGAGAACAGGCUUGUAGAUAAAGCUGCUAAGCAAGGCUCUAUGAAGGAAGAGGUUAAACUUUUUAGCCUGAUCCCAGGUAUCCCUAAGAUGGCAUUAAAACCUCAAUUUUCUAAGGAGGAGGGGGAAAAACUGGGCAAAAUAGGGGCCACUCAAACUAAGGAUGGGAGGUGGAUGCUACCUGAUGGGAGAGAAAUAAUAAGCAAACCCAUAAUAAGAGAAUCAAUGUCUACACUGCAUAAGGGAAGUCAUUGGGGUCCCCAGACCAUGUAUGAUGCAAUACUCAAGAAUUAGGGGUGUAUAGAGAUUUAUACACUUGCUAAACAAGUGUGCAGGGGUUGUGUAAACUGCCACAGAAUGAACAAAAAGGUAGUUAAAAAACAGACUACCAGAAGAAGACCUCCUGGGUUAAGGCCAUUUCAAAGCUUUCCCAUAUUUAGGCAGGACUACUAACCUUCCUACUGUGGAAACCAAAGACUAAUUUUUAAGAAAUUAUAUACUGGCCAUAUCCUCCACCCUGUCAUCCCUUAGGUUAAAAGAACUUCUAACUCAAACCCCGCCUCUUAAGUUUACAGCUCACCACUUCCAGCCUGGGAACUCCGUGCUAAUUGAGACUUGGAAAGAAGACAAGCUCCAGCCAUGCUGGGAAGUUUCCUGUCAAGGGCUCCUGAUCACUAAGACAGAUGUACGAACAGCUGAAUGGGGUAAACACAUGUGCAUUCAUCUCAGAGAGUUAAACCUUUCUUUUGAUUCAGCAGUUUGGAAACACUGUUUAUCAAAAAACUGAAAAAAGAACCCCUGGAAGGAAGGGAAAAGGGUAGAUGGGAAGUGUAUAAAUCACCUAAGGAACCUUUAAAGCUAACUCUAAGGAAAACCUAGAAGGAAGCUAUAAGCAGGCGCCAUCAUUGGGGGCGAAUAUAUUUACACGAGAGGUAAAAGGAGACCUAAAUAUUAAAUAGGGCCCAGUACUAGGGGUGAAAAAUAGGGAAUAUCCAGUCAAACUAAUAGUCAACAUAACUAGAACCUCCACCUCCCAGACCAGACUAUAAAGUUCAAUGCCUGCCAAGUCUUACAUUGUGGGAAUUUAGAAAACCAAAGGCAGCCGUUGCAAGCAAACCAAUAUCUGUGUCCUGAAACAGGUCGCUGUUAGGGAAAGCCCUGUGCUACUGGAAUGAGGUCUGAUGGACCACCCAGUGUCAAGGCUGGGUGAGUCAUUCUUCCAAAAACAAACCCUUAAAAAAUAAAAUACAUUUGUAUAAGGGCCCUACACCACCUAACUGUAGAAAUUUAAAAUGCAAUCUUAUAUUAAUUACCAUAAACAACCCGGCUACUCUAGACCAGGAACCUUGGAGGUAUGGAUUAGGAAUAAAUAUCUCAGGAAGGGAUCCCGCGGGACGGUUAGCUUUUAGGCUAGUCACCAACUCCACUCCGAGCCCACCCAGGGUUACUGUAACUCCCCAUCCCACUACUUCCUUUAACCCACCAAACAAUAACCCUAAAAAAGUAAAAAUAAUUAAGGUGACUAACUUAAGGCAAACUUUAGAAAUUAAGACUGGCUAUGGGGAUGUAAAUGCCUGGGUUGAAUGGGUCAAAUUUUCGGUACUAGCUCUUAAUAAAAGUGACUGUUUUGCAUGCUCUGCUGGGCAGCCUCAGGCACGGGUAGUUCCGUUUCCCCUAGGAAGGGAUACCAGUCCCAAAGGAAUGCGUUGUAUGUUGGCUCCAUACCAGGACAGGGAUGCAUGGGGAAAUAAGAUCUACAAAAGUCUAUUAUUGCUCUUUCCUGCAUUGCGGAGGUCAGAUCCUAAAGCAAUCCCCUCGUUCUCCAUAGGAAAUAUAAACCACUCCUCUUGUCUCUCUAGGCAGGGGGCAGAGUUCAACUCUCAACUUGUACCCACAUCUUAAAUGUUACUGGUAAGUCAAACAAAGGCAACUACUUGCCUCUUCAUAUACCCCCGGCUAAUGUCUAGUGGUAUUGUGGGAAAAGGAACCUCUGCAACUUGUUACUGCCCAAUUGAACCGGGACUUGUGCCUUAGUUUAACUGGCCAUUCCAUUCGCUUUGGCAAAUUCCAUAAAAUCCCCGAAAAUCCACAUGGCCACCAAAGUUGGAGAGAUCUAAGAAAUUCCUUUAAUCCCAACAUUUAUGUUAACUCAAUAGGAGCCACUAAAGGAGUACUUAAUGAAUUUAAGGACUAAAGGACACAAAAAUAAAUGUGAAAAUGGGACCAGUAGGGGUAAAAAGAAAAAGAGGAGGGAAUUGAAGGAAGUAAUGUAUACAGCCGUCCAUUUCCAAGACAAAGUGCCUUAAAUCAUCUUAGGGCAGCAAACUACAAAAGAAACUGAAAAUACUAGGUCCCUGCUUGAAUAGCCAAUGCCUGCUUGUCAGCCUCCCCUUCCCCCCACCACCCCACUUAGUUGCCCUCACCGGAACCAAAAAAGUUUAGUCUAAAAUAAAAGUUUACUAGUCUGCAAAAUAGCUCGCUUUGUCUUUUCUUAUCAGUCUGUCCAGCUACUUAGGUCAUAAGUCAAAUACUUGAAGAGCUCAUGAGCUAACUAGGAUUGCUAUGCAUUGUGGGCUGCAACAAAAUGCAGCAAGACAACCCUAAAGAAAACACCUAAAGCCCCUGCCUAACAAUCAAUAGCGACGUCCGUCUGGGAAAAUUGUAACCCUGUAGUACUCAACCUAUGAAGAAUGGCAGGGAAGGACCUGCACACUAGGGGAUAAAUUGCUUGUUAAAACUGUGCUGGGUGUGCCUGUGUGUCAAACACCCAAUCUUGCAAAACUGUCGUUACAAGUCUCACUUUGCUGUCCUGUGGGUCUCUAAGUCCAUUCUUUGAGUUUGAACAGUUAAGUUUGUUUCUCAUAGUUUGAAUGCUUAUUUUUGUACUAAAUGUUGUAUUAGGUAUCUUAUGUUUGCUGUCUUAUUUAAUUCUCACAAUAAACCUACAAAGCAGUGGUAUUCUUUCCAUUUCAUGGAUGAAGAAACUGAGGUUCACGGAGGCUCAGUAACUAAUGCAAGCCAAAUGGGUAGUGGAUGAUGGAGUGGGCUGUGAAUUCAGGUUUUCUUGUAUCACUUGACCACAGGCUAAAUGACAAGGGCUACUCUGGGGCCAAUGACAGCUCCUAAGACCCAGAACACAUGCAUGCCUGUCAGGGCAGAGAAAUUGAGUCUGUUUGGAAGCCAACUUAAGCCUUAGGAAUAUAGCCUUUAGAGCAAACGGUUUUAACCCAGGUCAGCAGAUGGAAUUCAUGGGAUCUAUGAACUUGGACAAGAAACACUUCCGCGUCAUUUUCACUAACUUUUCACUGAAUUUAGCACCUCUCUCACCUAUCACGUAGGCAAUAAAUCAGUGUUGGCCAGACCUGUAACUCUGUCAUUAAAAGAAACUACAGAUAUUUGCAUUUCACGUUACAGUGUUUACCAAUAUCUCAAAAUAUUGCUUAUGCAAUUUGUCAUGACUUUGCAUUUAUAGUAAUUAGACCUGCAGCAGACCUUGUUGUUUGUUACUCACAGAAUAUAUAUAUAUAUAUAUAUAUAAUUAUGUUAUGAAUUAGUUUUCAAAAGUGUUUUGAUAACUGUGGUUUAAUAUAAUUUAUUGGUCUUAUUUUGUGCACUUAAAAAUAUUCUUCUGGAAAAGCCUCCAUAUGCCCCACCAGACUGUCAGAGGACUCCAGAUACAGAACGGUCUCGAUGCCCUGACUCAGCAAGAGUGACUGAGUCAAAUCCUGACUGUCUCAUAUACCAGCUGGAGGACAUUAAGUUCUGUAGCCUGGUGGGAUGUCUCUCCUAAAUCAGGGUUUCUCAGCCUUGGCCCUGUUGAUGUUAGGGCUGCAUAAUUCUUUGCUGGGGAUGGUAUGGGGGUGAAUGGGGGCUAGCUCGUGCACUGUGGGAUGUGUGACAUUCCUGGCCUUGACCCACAAGAUGCAAUAGUACCCCACCCCCCAGUAUAUUCCUGGCCUUGACCCACAAGAUGCAAUAGUACCUCACCCCCCGGUUGUGACAACCCAAAAUGCCUCCUCUAGACAUUGUCUCAUGCCCCUGUGGGCAAGAUGGCCCAGUUGAGAACUGCUGUGCUAGAUGUGCAAUGUGAUAUUAGAGGAUUCUUGGGAGUACACUGCGAUCAUGCCUCAAUGCCUGAGUGCUCCAUGUGGCGCUCUAUCCUGUUUUUGUUAGGACACCAGAUUUCAGUAAGUUCAGGGUCAAGAGGGACUGGUCUCUCAGCCUGAGGGUCCACAAGGAAGUCCCUCUGGAGGGUUGGCAGCCUGCACUGGGGUGAUUCCAACUGGGAGUCCAGGGGAGCCCAGUCCUGGCGAGCUGAUGAUGGGAUGGAGAAGAACAGUGACUCAUGGGUGCCUACGGGUGCCCCGGACCUGAAAGAUAGACAGCAGGGGCUAACCCCAGAUAGGCAGGAGUGUAGAAAAUGCCUUCUCCAACCUCAGGGGAUUCUUGGUUCUUUUAAAGCCAGAAGAAUGAGGAUGGCAGGGCCACAAGCUGCCCUAAAGGAUGAUGCAGUGCUGCAGGAGAUUAAGAGGAAGGGGGCAUUUUUAAAUUCUUUUGGAGUACUGAAGGGGAAAUAACAGAAUGGUGAGAGAAGCUACUGGUUUUGAGUGUUGACACCAUGCCAGGUGCUGUUCUAAGCAGCCUAUGUCAACAUGGUACUUAAUUCUUACAGCUAACUAGGAGGUAGAUGCUGUCAAUGUCCUCAUUUGGCAAGGCUCUGAGGCUUAAAUGUCCACUGUCUUGCCUGACUUUCCUUCUGUAAAUGACAGAACUGAAAUGUAAGCCCAGAUGUGUCUAAUUUCAGUGCCCAUGAGUUAAAUCAAUAGGUAGCACUGCCCAAAUGCCAUUCCAGAUACCCAGAAAACCCAAAGCUGAUACUGCUAAACAAAGGUUAGGGGCCCGUGAGAAACUACAGAGGUCAGAGCACUCCUAAGAGACUGAAGGGGCUCAUCUGGGACAGUGUUUGACAAAAAUGCAGGAGAAGGCGGGCCUUCUGUGGACCUCCUGUGACCUAUGGACUUGGGAAUUCCUUGCCUUGUGAAUUCCAUGCCGAUGUUAGACAAGCAUCUGGAUCAAUUACUAAACCUACGUCUCGUCAGCCCUUAGAUGCCAAAUGUGUGGUUGAUAAGAAUCAUUGUCAUUUUUUGACUUUUUAAUAAUAGCCAUUCUGACUGGUAUGAGAUUGGGUAUUUUUAUUCUAAAUAAAUAUUCUUUUUUAUAACAACAACAAACAAAUCACUGUAAGAUCAUAAGUUAACAAAGAACAAAUCAUGCCAGACAAACUUCGUUCUUCUUUAUGGCUCUGCUCUCCUGAUGGCUUGGUGGGAGGUGGGGGUGGAGGGGAAUCUGCAGAUGGCUUUCCAUAGAGCAUCUGCUCCCAGCUCUCAUGAAAUCCGUGAGGACAGAUUUGGAAACAUGAGCUAGACAAUACCAGGGCAGGCUGCUUUCUGGUGGGUUAAAGACCUGUGCUCCAAGGGAACUGAUUAGCCAAUAUGGGCUUAGAGGAAUUCUCAGUGGCAAACUGGAGAUGAUUCAACAAUCAGAAUGAAAAAUGUCACCGUGACAUACUUGUGGAGAAAAGCAAACAGCACCAAGCAAGUAGAUUUUCACUAUAUCUGAGAUACCAGGGAGGGGAGCCAGUAUUACAAAAUUGCCUGGAUUUAAUGAUGAUGAUAAUAGGUAACACCUUUAAGUAUGUACUCUGUCCCCAGGUGUGGUUCUAAGCAUUUUACAUAAAUUAGUUCCUUUAGCACCUCCCAACAACCCUACAAAGUAGGUUAUAUUAUUUUCCACAUUUUACAGUUGAGGAAACUGAGGCGGAGAAUGAUUUCAUAGUUACCAGAUGCCUGAGAUUUAGAGUCCCAUUUAGCUCUGAGAUUGUAUUGGAAGGUGGGGAAAGAGUGGCUUGUAUGUGCACAAAAAGAAGAUAAUCACGGUGUGCCAAGGGGCUUAGCUGUCCCUUUCUCUGGGAGAUUUUUCUCUACCUCCCAAGUGGGGCUAGCGGCCUCUCCUAUGCACUCACAAGGCAUCCGGUACAUGGCGCUGUCCCUGCCCCUCCCCGAGGUUUAUAAUUUCCUAUGUGCAUGUUUGCCUCCCCUCUAGAUUCAUUUCAUCCCUUUAGGACCCUCAGCUUUGAGCACAGUGGCAACGCUGGGGUUUCCAGAAGUGUUGGUAAGGGGAUUGAAAUGAAUGUAAAGAUUGUAAAGUCUGAAGAAGAGACAGAAGGCCCUGGGGCCAGGGGGCAUGCAUGUGUGACAAAAUCUCAACCAAAGGCCACAGGGGAUGAGAAGAUAGAAGGAAGAAGUUGUCAUCCCCUGGAGCAUGGUAUUGAGGGAACCUGUGGGAUGGUCUUUCCCCAAGGCCUCGAUGGCCUCGCGGGGAGAGACCAUGGUAUAGACUCACUGGCCUCUCAUAAGCUUCUCCAGCUCCACAAGCCAAGAAGCCUAUGAAGUCUGUGGAGUUUCAAGUGCUGCACACUGGGCUGCUCACCUUUUCCUUUUAGAGUAAAGAGAUCAAGAAGACAUGGAGGAAAUGUAAAGAUAUAUUGGAAAGUACGUGGUAUAUAAUAUUAACUAAAGUCAAUAGUUUACAUUAGGCUUGGCUCUUGACUUCAGUUAAUAUUAUAUACCACAUAUUGAUUAAUCAGUUGUAACAGUUGUACCACACUAGUGCAAGAUGUUAAAAUAAAAAAAGGUGUGUGUGUGUGUGUGAGAGAGAGAGAGAGAGAGAGAAACAGAAAGACAGAAACAGAUGAGGUGUAUGGGAACUCUUUUUUUAGCAAUUUUUCCAUAACCUAAAAUUGUUCUAAAAAGUAAAAUCUAUUAAAACAAUACAGAGAUCUCUGUGAUCGCACCUAGAACAUACCCGGGAAAUACUGCUGAUGCACUCAUGUGCACUCACAGGAAUCACAGAACUAUACAGAGAUGGGCGCCCUCCUCAUUCCUUGGGGUAGACAGAUAUAGAAACAGGCUCAGCCAACAUCAGAUGUAACUUGCUCACUUUCUUUCCACUUCCCUUCAAUAAAUAUGCAGUAGGUGAACAUGCUUCAUAGAAUGGGAAAUGCUACACAAUUAUUAAAAACGUGUGGGCUAAAUCAAUCUAAGAGAUUGAAGAGAGCUGCUUCAAGUCAUUAUACUCAAGUGGACUCUGGGAGGGGUAGCCUUAGCAUCUGCUCCUUCUGGCCAAGGGCCAAAUGGAUUGGGGUCCCGAGCACAUCCACAGGAGGCCAGAAUGGCUGUAACUGGUGUCUCUUGUCCUGAUUAGAGGGUGAGGGCGGCUUCAGAGUUUCUAGAGUGUGGCCCCCGUCCUAAGGGGGCAUUGGGAUGGGGCUGCUCCUGAGCUGGGAGAAGGAGCUGGGAUGAGUGUCAGGCAGUUGCUGAGGGGUGGAGGAGAAGGAGCGAGCAGUUGCUAAGAGAGCUGGCAGGAGUGGAGCUGGGUGAUGUUUGACUCUGGAUUAAAAAAAUUUUUUAAGCAAGCAAAGAGAAUUUCCACUCUGCCAGAGCUAGGAGACCUUUGAGACCAUCUCUUCCAUCUUCUCACUCUAUAGCUGAGGAAACAGGGCCUGGAGGGAUCCCCCAGAGACCCAGUGGCAGUCCCACACUAGGCUGGGCUGUCCCUGACUCCUAGGCUCAUGCUUUGCAAAAUUGAAUGGGCCUGCAAAACAGCUCUCAAGCCUGAGCACUUCUCCCAUCUCACCCAAGUAACUCCUCUGCCUUGAGCCUUUUAACGGCUUCUCAUUCUGAGAGGAACCACUUACCUCCCCUACCAUGGUAUCUCAGGCCUUGACAGGCUGUCCUUCUCAUCUCUCCAGUCCCAUCUCUCUCCCCUUCUACCCACCUCCCCGCCCCUACCCAGCCUCCUCUCCAUCCCCAACCCCCAGGCCCUGGAAGCACUGAAGACCCCUACUUUUCCUACCCAGCCAGGUGUCCUUUGUCUCCGGGAUGGGAUGUGUGCUCUUCCACCCCCAGUUCAUCUCCCACUCUGCCUGCUACCAGCGGGGCUGCCAUUUCCAGGACAGCCUUCCCCGAGAGUCCAGGCCUAGGUCAAAUGUCCUGUAGUCCCUCCAUUGUAGCUGUCUGCCUACCAGCCCUUAUUUCCCACUGGGCCAGAGAGCACCGACAGAGCCUGGCGCAGAGGAGGUGCUUCAUAAAUAUUUAUUGACUGAAACUGGGUCUACAAAUAUUUCUUACAGGCUACAAGCAGAAAGUAUUAGUCUCAGUUCCCUCAGGCUCCCUCUCAUCCCCUUCCCCCACCUCUCCAUGCAUCUGCUGGUGUUUAGGUUCCUUUUCCCCAUGGCCCUGGAGAACCAGUGGACCAGGGCACCAGGGGCAACCGCAAUGGCUCUGAACAUGUGGAUGGGAUGAGGCUCUAAGUAAGGCAGGUUCAUGGCUCCUAUGCAAGUAGCUAGACUACUUCCUUGGCCAUUUAAAACAAGGCAUGACUGGUUUUUAUCCCUGUGUGGAGAUGGUACAAUGCCUGCUAUGGCAGUUGAACACGGCUGGUUGACGCACACACACUCUGCAUUAAGUUUUAUGCUUUCAACACCACCAUGUUCAGUGUUUGCCCUCCCUGACAAGUGACUGCUGCUCUCCGGGGCUCUGCUCUGCCUGCUAGACCAGUCAUCUUUACUGUGGUCUUUCCCCUUUAUUGCCUUGGAAAUGUAUGGGCAUUAACUUUUAUGCUUUAAAUCCAAAUAGACGAUAAAAUUAAGGAAGCAGGUUAGUGUUAAUCUACAGGGUUGCCUGUGGAAACAAUCUGAGUCCUUCAGAGUCCUUGAGGGGAUUUCUGAGGUUGUCCUCCCCUCCCUGAGCAAAACUUUCUGUAGCAUGCAGAGAAGGGCUGUGCUUGGAAGGAGGUCAAAUGCCCCUUGGGCCAAGGAGUGAAAACUUCCCUUUGCAUGGCAAACUCAGCACAUAGAAGCCAGAGAUGGGCUCCGGGAAGAGGAUCCCAGAGGAAUGGGGGUAGCACGUGUCAGUCUGUCUGCUUCAGGCAGACCCAAAUAAGCUUCACCUGCAAACACAUUCGAGGGGGAAAGAACCAAGGCAGGUUACAGGUGACGGGUAUGCACAUGGAGUUCAUCACCCACAUAAACCCUCCCGCCCUCUCACAGGGGGCAGCGGCUGUCAUUUAUCAAAUGCCCACUUUGCACUGGGUGCUUGACUUACAUUAGCUGUCAUCUUUGCCACAGCCCAGUGAGGAAAGCAGAGGUAAACCUUCUCUAAUUUCUACAUGAAGACAUUGAGAUACACAGCCAGCUGGUGGUAGAGGUAAGUUUUGAAGCCAGGCAAUGAGCCCGUUCUAAAGCCCAUGCUCUCUCAUGAUUUUGCACUGCCUCUGCAGGAAUUCCUAGAGAUUAGGACCAUAUUAGGGGAGGGGAAUGGGGUCUGCCUGCUGGGCAUAGAGCGAGAGAACAAAGAAGUGGGAGAGGCAUCUGGGCUGGCAGGGCUGCAGCCCACCAGCCUUUGCAUUUGACAGUCCUAGGCCUGCUGUGUGGCCAGGGGCAAACACUUCUGCAGGGACAGGAGAGGCAGCUUUGUCUGUGCGCCAGCUGCUGGGCAGGGUGUAAUUAGGUGGGAAAGGCUCUAAAUGUUCCACACAGGCAAAUCACAACCUUGCAAUUAAAAAAAGCUACAUGGAAGUGCAGUGUGAAGGCGCCUGUGACUUCUGCUGUGCUUAUCAUGGGGAGCAAGUCAGCCAGAAAACUGCUGCUCUGCAGUUCCUUGGAUCCAACACUUAGCUGAACCUCUCAGGCUGACUUGAUGGCACACACUUGGCUUCACCACUGCACCCUCUUGAAUGCACUGCUGAGGGGCAGCCUUCUUGCCCUCUCCCAAAGUAGAGAGCACCGUGCUGGGCAUGGUUCUCUCACAGCACACUGAUAAGGCACAAGACACAAUACAGCCCCACCUGUUCCAAAUCUCCUCAUUCCCGAGCACUGUGAGAGAGGCUGGCUCUGUUCAGUCAUAUCCAGGAGGCCUCUGGGGAUUUUUAAAAAAAAAGGAAAUUGGGAUCAUGACAUGCUUGGAAUAUGGCGAGGAUUUUUUCCUGCCAUGUAAGUGCACUAUAAUGGGAAAAAACAAUCACUGUAAACAAUAUUUGUGGGCGAGACUCUGAUGUGGCCCCAAAGUAGAUGGAUCUAGGGGAGGGGCCCAGUGACUUGAUUAGACACUGUUUGAUGCUGCAAGUAAGCAGGCCCUGGCUUCCUAUCAGCCUCUGUUCUUAGGACAAUGCUGACACUAAUACCUUGAUGUACGUGGUACCUGUGUGCUGUAGUUUGGAUGUUGGUCCCCUCUGAGUCUCGUGUUGAAAUGUGAUCCCCAGUGUUGGAAAUGGGGCCUAAUGGGAGGUGUUUGGGUCACAGGAUGGAUCCCUCAUAAAUGGCCUGCUGCCAGUCUUGCAAUGAGUGAGUUCUUGCUCUGUUAGUUCCCAUGAGAGCUGGGGUUUUUUUAAUUAUUUUUUUUAGAAGGAGUUUUGCUCUUGUUGCCCAGGCUGGAGUGCAAUGGCACAAUCUCAGCUCACCGCAACCUCUACCUCCCAGGUUCAAGUGAUUCUCCUGCCUCAGCCUCCCGAGUAGCUGGGAUUAUAGGCAUGCAUCACCAUGCCCUACUAAUUUUGUAUUUUUAGUAGAGAUGGGGUUUCUCCACGUUGGUCAGGCUGGUCUCAAACUCCUGAUCUCUGCUGAUCUGCUGGUCUUGGCCUUCCAAAGUGUUGGGGUCACAGGCAUGAGCCACUGUGCCUGGCCAAGAGCUGGUUGUUAAAAAUAACCUGGCACCUCCCUCCCUCUCUCUUGCCUCCUCUCGCCAUGUAAUCUCUGCACAUGCAGGCUCCCCUUCGCCUUCUGCCAUGAGUGGAAGCAGCCUGAGGCCCUCACCAGAUGCAGAUGCCAGUGCCAUGCUUCCUAUAUGGCCUACAGAACCUUGAGCCAAAUAAACCUCUUUCUUUAUAAAUUACCCAGCCUCAGAUAUUUCUUUAUAAGAAACGCAAAUGGACAAAGAUAGAAAAUUGGUGCCGAGGAGUAGGGCAUUGCUACAAAGAUACCUGAAAAUGUAGAAGCAGCUUUGGAACUUCACCCAGUAAUGGGUGAAGGCUGGAAGAAUUUAGAGGGCUCAGAAGAAGAGAAAAAGAUACGAGAAAGUUUGAAAUUUCUUAAGGAUUGGUUAAGUUUUUGUGACCAAAAUGCUGUUAGAAAUAUAGACAGUGAAGGCCAUACACAAGGUUUCAGAUGGAAAUGAGGAACUUAUUGGGAACUGGAGCAAAGGCCAGCAUUGUCAUAAAUUGGCAAACAACUUGGCUGCCUUGUGUCCAUGCCCUAGGGCUUUGUGGAAGGCUGAAUUUAAGAGUGACGACCUGGCUGGGCGCGGUGGCUCUCAUCUGUAAUCCCAGCACUUUGGGAGGCUGAGGCGGGCAGAUCAUGAGGUCACGAGUUCCAGACCAGCCUGGUUCACAUGGUGAAACCCCGUCUCUACUAAAAA
Molecule: long non-coding RNA, 14578 nt
Filed under: Homo sapiens (human)
Lineage: Eukaryota; Metazoa; Chordata; Mammalia; Primates; Hominidae
Description: HSALNT0298542
Source: RNAcentral